GACAGGUCAUGUAUACAUCAACAAGGUCCAAUCAAAUCAAUAGAUUUUCAAAAGAAGUAGAUACCUCCCAGAUAUGGGGAUAGCCCGUGGUGACCAUUUUUACCAAAUGAAGCGAACCACCCAAUCCACAUGAAUAUCUUAUUGAACUAUAAUAUAAUGUUCAACCACUUAUUUAUAAGAAUUCACAAUUUUUAUCAAUUUUUUUAUCACAUAUUUCAUCAAAUUUUCUCAAAAUUUACUAAAAAAAUUGACUUUU
Molecule: long non-coding RNA, 256 nt
Filed under: Olea europaea (common olive)
Lineage: Eukaryota; Viridiplantae; Streptophyta; Magnoliopsida; Lamiales; Oleaceae
Description: long non-coding RNA (OEUR_LNC010713)
Source: RNAcentral